AUGCUUGUGUUUUUGCAGAUUGAAAAAGAAGAAGAAAGAUUGGAAACAAAGUCGAAAUCAACCCCAUAUGUCUCCUCUCCUAUCGAAGUCGCUACAAUUCUUUCAGAUCCGACGCACACAACUGCACUGUCGCACACCUCAACCGACCCUUCGUCAACAACUCACCAUCGUGCCUCUGUCAACAGAUCAAUCGGAAACCGACGAGAUCGACGCUGUAAUUCCAGCCACACCGUUGAUAACGCUUCCCUCUGUUUCAGAUCUCGCCACAGGUCAAAUGGAAGUCUGAUACGAUGGGAGAACUGA
Molecule: non-coding RNA, 303 nt
Organism: Vicia faba (fava bean)
Lineage: Eukaryota; Viridiplantae; Streptophyta; Magnoliopsida; Fabales; Fabaceae
Source: the annotation of a GenBank genome assembly